AGUUUUAUGAAACAUUCAAAAAGAUAUAUGUGAGCCAGUUGCCAAUUGCUCAUGGCUGUAAUCCUAGCUACUUAGGAGGCUGAGAACUGAGGAUCACAGUUUGAAGCCUGUCUGGGCAUGAAAGCCUGUGAGACUCUUUUCCCCAAUUAGCCGCCAGAAAUGCUGGAAGUGGGGCUGUGGCUCAAGUGGUAGAGUGCUAGGUAGCCUUGAGCACAAAGGCUCAGGGUGAACAUGCAAAUCCUGAGUUCAAGUCCCAGGACUGAUACAUACACAAGAAAAGAUGUAUGUGAUUCAUAUCUAGAUUCUUGUAUGAAAUGGACACAGCAUAGUAUGAUUGGUAUUUUGCAGACCAAAUAAGAUAGAUAAUGUGAAAUAAUUUGAAGCUGUUUUUUUCCCUCUACAAGACAGGAUCUCAUUAUUAAAACUAGGCUGGCCUAGAACUUGUGGUUCUCUUGCCUCAGUUUCACAAGUACUGGGAUUCCUGGUGUGUACUACUCAUUUAAACCUGGCUGAUAUUUUAGGCCUCUUAGUGGUAUACACCUACUAUAGAGAUAUUCAGAAUCCUUUUCAAUUUUUUUUGUUCAUGUGUUACCUUUGAUCUGGACAAUUAGACAGUAAAAAAUACAAACAUUUUCAGUCUUAUAUAUGUUGUCUUAUGUAUAUACUUAUAUAUUUGGAGGCUUACUUUUUAUCUACUGAUAUGCAUAUAUGGCAUUUGAGUGUUCAUACCAUUUUAUCCAUUAGAGUUGAGGCCUUAAUAGUCAUUUCCUCACCAGUGCUAACAUUCAGGAAUACCUUUUAAAUGUGAAUCUCAUCUCGUAGAGAAAACCAUUUUUACAUGUACCAGAAUCAAGAUAUUCUAGUCUUUACAUGAUUUUUUUCUCCAUCUGUCUGUCUCUUUUGUCUCUAAUUUUGUUGGUGCAUCAGGACUACUGAGCAAGUCAAAUUUCUCUGUUUUCUGUUGUAAGUACUCUUGCUGUUGAUACUGUUUGUCCCUGGGACUUCUGGCAGUCCCCUCUCCUAGCCCUGCUCUACUAUCUUUUCAUGGCAUGUUGGCUUCUCUUUUUCAACUUACCUUUUUGAUGAUUUUGUUUUUCUUUUGCAUUUCAUUUGCCCCCUCAUAAGUUGGCUUAGCCUUGCAAGUCUGUACCUAAGGGAGUGAAAAUGACCCUUUCCACCUUAGGUGCUAGAGCUUGUGUCCCCUGGCUUGGCAUGCCUUGAAUACCAAAAGCUGGCUUGGCCCCAAGAAGUGCUGUGGCUACAGCACUGGUUUGAGGGACUGCUCUGCUAUAUCAUGGGGAUACUGGAAUUUUUUUUUUUUGAUAAGUUAAGGCUGCUGGCUUGGUACAGGUAAUACAUUUUACUGGUAAAUUUCCCUGAAUCGUCCUGAGUUAAAAGACAGAGUGGCACUCAGUAAGAGCGCGAGGGAAAGACAGUGGACGAGUUAGUGAUGGUGUGCAUGCUGGUAACUUGCAAGUUGCAAAUAGUUGUUUUUUUCUUUUGUUGGUCAGAGUGGUAUUUUUUAAUUGUUAUUAUUAAGUAGUUGUACAAAGGGGUUCCAUUGUUUCUUUUUAACUGAAAACUUUAAGCUUAUUAAAACAGCAGAAUCUGAGUUAAUCUUGUGAUCACAAACUAUGAACUAGUCUGAAAAUAACAGGGGGAUCCACAUUUGCCUCUAAUCGUGGCCUUUGUACACACUACAUGCUGUUCCUCUUCUGUCUUGCUACAUAAAAAGAAUGAUAGCAAUUUGCUUAAAUACUUCUACUUUUAUACCUUCAUUGACCACAGUUCUUUUCUGUAAGUACCCAGCUCUGGACUAGGACUCUCUUAGGAGAUAUCUUGUCUGUGACUUUUAGAGCAAUAAAGACUUUUUAAAGACUU
Perognathus longimembris pacificus (Pacific pocket mouse) is the source of this 1881-nucleotide long non-coding RNA. RefSeq lists it as uncharacterized. The transcript is spliced from 2 exons. The record is from RefSeq and is a predicted model, not a curated record. Lineage: Eukaryota; Metazoa; Chordata; Mammalia; Rodentia; Heteromyidae.